AACAAUGCAGGUGAAAGCAGAAGAAUUUCCUUCAGUGCAAGGCAGUGAUUUUCCCUCUGUGGCAACAUUUAUAGAAGACAAACAGCUAUAGGAAGGUCUGUGUAGACAGGCUUUUCUGCAGCCUUGGGAACUCCUUGCUCCAUUGCUCAGGACCUACCAUGGCAAUCACAGAAGAGUAUUAGAGUAAAUGACUGAAUUUCUUUCCUCUAAAGGGGGAAGUUACGUACUAUACUCUGCACUGAACUACUGCCCUACCACAGCUGAAAUGUGAGCUCCUCUGUCUGAGAUGCACCCACUGGAGUUGUCAUCUGCUCCUCUGCUGAGCUAAUUCACCUAAAUAACAUAAGAAUAGCCCUGAACAGGUAGUAAACAAAACCCAGUGUGACAGUAGGACAAUGGAGGAGCCCAGAUGCACUGGCAGCUGUAAGAUGAGGUACAAGUGGGGACAGCACCUUUUCAGUGGCGGCUACUGCAGAUCCACUCAUCCCCAACGAUACAACAUGACCUUCACAUCACUUUCUAUGCAGUGCUUGGCUGAAGCGGGGAGAUGUUAUUCUCUUCUCCUGACAGGGAAGACAGAGCUCCCCAUGGGCUGAAGGAACCAUCUUUUCAGUUUACUCAGUGGUAGAAAUAUUUGAAGCCACAUGAACAUGUGUGUGGCUGGCCCUAGGACUACUUAGUAAACACUUAGCUGUCAGCAUGUGUCACUGGAUUCAAAGCCAGAGAGAAAUCACUCCAUCUAUAUAUGUAGGCACUCAGAGAGCUGUCAGAAUAAUCUUAAUUUGUUACCUGCCUAGAUGUUAUGUUUUCAGGCCUUCUUGGAAGACUGUCAUGAAUUAAAAAGAAAAAAACCAAAGAACCCAAAGGGUUAAAUUAUCAUGUUUCCCUUCCCUCUUGCUUGUGGGGAAGAGGUGAAUGGGCUUUGUGAGUGAAAGCCCAGAGACAGUCAAUAGAAAGGAAAACUGCAUAGAAAAUAGUGUGCACCCCUCAAGUGUGUGGGGGCCACAGCCCCAAGGCAGCUGUGCUGACUGGCAAGAAGUACUCAG
Long non-coding RNA from Passer domesticus (house sparrow), 1046 nucleotides. RefSeq lists it as uncharacterized. The record is from RefSeq and is a predicted model, not a curated record. The transcript has 3 exons. Lineage: Eukaryota; Metazoa; Chordata; Aves; Passeriformes; Passeridae.